Molecule: ribosomal RNA, 274 nt
Filed under: uncultured bacterium
Lineage: Bacteria
Description: partial 16S ribosomal RNA
Rfam family: Bacterial small subunit ribosomal RNA
Source: RNAcentral
AUACGGAGGGUGCAAGCGUUAUCCGGAAUCAUUGGGUUUAAAGGGUCCGUAGGCGGACUAUUAAGUCAGAGGUGAAAUCCCACAGCUCGACUGUGGAACUGCCUUUGAUACUGGUAGUCUUGAGUUAUAUGGAAGUAGAUAGAAUGUGUAGUGUAGCGGUGAAAUGCAUAGAUAUUACACAGAAUACCGAUUGCGAAGGCAGUCUACUACGUAUAUACUGACGCUCAGGGACGAAAGCGUGGGGAGCGAACAGGAUUAGAUACCCUGGUAGUCC